GGGGCAACCUGGCGGCGAGUGGCGAACGGGUGAGUAAUAUAUCGGAACGUACCCUGGAGUGGGGGAUAACGUAGCGAAAGUUACGCUAAUACCGCAUACGAUCUAAGGAUGAAAGUGGGGGAUUCGCAAGAACCUCAUGCUCCUGGAGCGGCCGAUAUCUGAUUAGCUAGUUGGUGGGGUAAAGGCCUACCAAGGCAUCGAUCAGUAGCUGGUCUGAGAGGACGACCAGCCACACUGGAACUGAGACACGGUCCAGACUCCUACGGGAGGCAGCAGUGGGGAAUUUUGGACAAUGGGCGAAAGCCUGAUCCAGCAAUGCCGCGUGAGUGAAGAAGGCCUUCGGGUUGUAAAGCUCUUUUGUCAGGGAAGAAACGGUCUUGGUUAAUACCCGGGGCUAAUGACGGUACCUGAAGAAUAAGCACCGGCUAACUACGUGCCAGCAGCCGCGGUAAUACGUAGGGUGCAAGCGUUAAUCGGAAUUACUGGGCGUAAAGCGUGCGCAGGCGGUUUUGUAAGUCUGUCGUGAAAUCCCCGGGCUCAACCUGGGAAUUGCGAUGGAGACUGCAAGGCUAGAAUCUGGCAGAGGGGGGUAGAAUUCCACGUGUAGCAGUGAAAUGCGUAGAGAUGUGGAGGAACACCGAUGGCGAAGGCAGCCCCCUGGGUCAAGAUUGACGCUCAUGCACGAAAGCGUGGGGAGCAAACAGGAUUAGAUACCCUGGUAGUCCACGCCCUAAACGAUGUCUACUAGUUGUCGGGUUUUAAUUAACUUGGUAACGCAGCUAACGCGUGAAGUAGACCGCCUGGGGAGUACGGUCGCAAGAUUAAAACUC
Molecule: ribosomal RNA, 830 nt
Filed under: uncultured Duganella sp.
Lineage: Bacteria; Pseudomonadati; Pseudomonadota; Betaproteobacteria; Burkholderiales; Oxalobacteraceae
Description: bacterial SSU rRNA
Rfam family: Bacterial small subunit ribosomal RNA
Source: RNAcentral